UGGGGAAUUUUCCGCAAUGGGCGAAAGCCUGACGGAGCAACGCCGCGUGAGGGAUGAAGGCCUCUGGGCUGUAAACCUCUUUUCUCAAGGAAGAAGAACUGACGGUACUUGAGGAAUAAGCCACGGCUAAUUCCGUGCCAGCAGCCGCGGUAAUACGGGAGUGGCAAGCGUUAUCCGGAAUUAUUGGGCGUAAAGCGUCCGCAGGCGGCCUUGUAAGUCUGUCGUUAAAGCGUGGAGCUUAACUCCAUUUAAGCGAUGGAAACUACAAGGCUUGAGUGUGGUAGGGGCAGAGGGAAUUCCCGGUGUAGCGGUGAAAUGCGUAGAUAUCGGGAAGAACACCAGUGGCGAAGGCGCUCUGCUGGGCCAUAACUGACGCUCAUGGACGAAAGCCAGGGGAGCGAAAGGGAUUAGAUACCCCUGUAGUCCUGGCCGUAAACGAUGAGCACUAGGUGUCGGGGGAAUCGACCCCCUCGGUGUCGUAGCCAACGCGUUAAGUGUUCCGCCUGGGGAGUACGCACGCAAGUGUGAAACUCAAAGGAAUUGACGGGGGCCCGCACAAGCGGUGGAGUAUGUGGUUUAAUUCGAUGCAACGCGAAGAACCUUACCAGGGUUUGACAUCCUGCGAACCCUGAGAAAUCGGGGGGGUGCCUUCGG
RNAcentral lists this ribosomal RNA (654 nucleotides) under uncultured cyanobacterium. RNAcentral's name for it is "bacterial SSU rRNA". It matches the Rfam family "Bacterial small subunit ribosomal RNA", at positions 355 to 1023 of the family's 1533-position model. Lineage: Bacteria; Bacillati; Cyanobacteriota. The record is from RNAcentral.